Molecule: ribosomal RNA, 446 nt
Filed under: uncultured bacterium
Lineage: Bacteria
Description: bacterial SSU rRNA
Rfam family: Bacterial small subunit ribosomal RNA
Source: RNAcentral
CCCAGACUCCUACGGGAGGCAGCAGUGGGGAAUAUUGCACAAUGGGGGAAACCCUGAUGCAGCGACGCCGCGUGAGCGAUGAAGUAUUUCGGUAUGUAAAGCUCUAUCAGCAGGGAAGAAAAUGACGGUACCUGACUAAGAAGCCCCGGCUAACUACGUGCCAGCAGCCGCGGUAAUACGUAGGGGGCAAGCGUUAUCCGGAUUUACUGGGUGUAAAGGGAGCGUAGACGGUCCUGCGAGCCAGAUGUGAAAGCCCGGGGCUCAACCCCGGGACUGCAUUUGGAACUGUAAGGCUAGAGUGUCGGAGAGGCAGGCGGAAUUCCUAGUGUAGCGGUGAAAUGCGUAGAUAUUAGGAGGAACACCAGUGGCGAAGGCGGUCUGCUGGACAGCAACUGACGCUGAGGCGCGAAAGCGUGGGGAGCAAACAGGAUUAGAUACCCGCGUAU